GAUCUUACUGGGGGACCCUUAAUUAAUUACUGCUCACUUUUAUAAAAUUCGUGCCAUUAAAUUAGUUGACGUCAUCUUUCGGCUUAGAAACGCGUGACAAGUGAAUGAUAACUUUCGUUCCCGAUAUACGCGAGUUAAGGGCGGAAAUUUAGGCGAAAGCCGGACGAGUUUCUGAUACGAGCGAAUUUAAUUAAAUCGCCUUUCUUUCCCCUUUUUAAGUAACGUCUCUGGGGUUCAACGCUCACAUAUGGAGGCAAAGUUAAUUGGAACUUGUGGGCAUUUUACAGUCAGUAGUUCGAGUUCUAAAUUCAUGUUUGUAACUUACUCUCAAAUGGUUUUGUCAUUCUGGAUUACUGUGCGAAAUAAUGUGCUAAUUGUGCUCCAUCGUAGGAGUUUUUAAUGUAGAAAGUGUUACGCAAUUCAAAUUCUUAAGUAAAAUUGAGUAAUUAGAAUUACUUAUUGGAGGAGUCAUCGUCCCGGUGCGUCGAUUUGUGGAAUGCGUGAGACAUUCUGCGGGCAGAAGGCGUCGGCGUCGUCUUACGUAAGUGGCCAAUUUGCGUUGCGGAUAUCAAUGAACCAAAAACGACACGACAAAACAAUAGCCGAAAAGGGAUCGCGGGCCCAAAUUUAAAAACGUGCGUUUAGGUGCGAGAUGAAGAAUGGAGGAGAGACCACGUCGGCACACAUGUGCGAACACAUGGUAUAUUCUAUAAUUAUCAGCCCUCGCAGAGGCAGCCGCCGGCCGGGGGGGCUUCUCUCUCAGCUCGCCACAGAUGUAUUUUAAGAAAAGACAAAUUUGGGAAGAGGGGCUGGCUGUACGCCUGUCUUCCUUUGCGGUCGCACCAAUGGCGUGCACGGGGCCAUUUUUAGACUAUAGCGGCCUAAGAGGUAUCCUAAACAGUUGCUUGUAAAUGCAGGGUGCAUUUAGUUGUGGACCAAAAGCCUUCCCUGAAGUGCCGAUACGGAGACCUUCGAGAGUUCCGUGCUUCCUUACUUCCCAUAGUGCUUAAGACGUAUGGAAUGUAAAGAAGUAUGGAGCAAACGGGGGCUAAUCGAACGUCCAACCCUUCGUGAAGUGCACUCGGAUUGUCGUGAUUGGAUUUAACGCUACGUGAUUGUGAUUUAAAUGAAGUGCGCGAUUGUUAUGUAAUCGAAUUUUCAAAAUUGAACUUCUUAUAUCAUAAGAGAUAAUAUGUAACGUGCAAUGCGGUGCUGUACGAUAAGUUGCCUAAAAUUAGAUUUGGGAUACCUUUUUUGGUGCGACGAAAAUACGCAAGGAUGCCAAAAAUAUCCGAAACAGUCAUAAUAUCCCCAUCAAUAACUGAUUGAUUUGGUUAUACGACAGUUUACAUGAAAUUUGAUUUUCUACCCUUCACAACUCAAUAUUGUGAAGUUUAUAAUUUAUGAGGGGUGUCAUUAACAAUGUAGGUAUGAACGAGUGUGCUUGGGGGUUUCCGAUUUGGGAUCAAGGAUUAGCUAUACAACUAUCGAUUUAUGGACUACUAAAUUAGGAGUGAUGCGGUAGCCAAAAUCCGGCGUUAUAUAACUUCAAAAAGGCAGUUUUAUAAUUAGAUUUGCUUUCCGUACAAUAAUCGUUAAUGUGCCCAAUUUUCUAGCAAAAUUUUCUUAUGGACGCCAAUUUCACAAUCUACAACUCUGAAUGUUUGUAGUGGAAUCAUUUUCUAAAAAAAAUUGUUUCUUCAAAAUUAUUCAGGACGCGUGUAAUUUUGAAACAGUUCCUCGAUUCACAAUGUUUUUUCGUAAGGGGUGUGUUCGAAAAUUUUGGAGCAAGUUGAAAAUUUUUUGGCUUAGGACCUAAAACUUGGUGCGACUUUAUACUGGAUUUAACUGAAAUUGUCAUAAGACGCAACUAUUUUUCAAAAUUAUUGCUAUGAAAAAGCCCGGAGAUGAAGUUCCAUUAGAAAAAUCUGAGUCGGAAUCAGAUGUUCUCAUCAGGAUUUUCGCAUUGAAUCAAAUCAAAUCUAAAAAGGUCAGGAAGGUGAAAAUAGACUUGUAAUUGAAAGCAAAUCAAAAGAUCUAGAGAUUAGCCAAAUAAAAACUUGUGAACCAAGGGACAAAUCUCAGUGUAGUGACGCCCUUAGAACCUGUCAAAGUAAUAAACUGAAAAUUUACUUUAAAAAUUUGGAUAAACACGAUUUAAUACAAGCGCAUGCGAACUUUGAAUUACGAACCAAUCUAACAGUAUAAAUAUUUGUAUGUUUAUUGUGAAACAACAAAAUAUACGUGUACGUCGCGCAUAAAGGAGGGAUCGUAAGCACUUUGGGGUUAACACAGCAUCUUCCCUCGACGUUCGGAUCCUUAAGCUAUUUUCAAACGAAAACUAUUUACCGCUGUCGGAUAAUUAUUUUGCAAGUUGUAGGUAAACAAAAGUUAUUAUACGAUCCUAUGCACACCGAAUUUGGAAUUUAACUAAACAGUUGAAGUUUAUGUUUUCCAGUGGACGCGGUUGAGAGCUAAUUUUAACGAAAAUUCGACAAACUUCCUAUACUACCGGAUCAUAAAUACAGUUCACCCACACAUUGUGAUACUACUGUCGUGGCACCAAAUACUUUAAAAGUGACACUUUUCUGUCGGUUUUGUGACACUUGAAUGUGUACAGUCACGGAUAAAAUUAAUGAAGCUUAAAUUAAAUUGAACUAUCUAGAGGUCGUUAAUAUUGUCCGUUAUCGUACAACGCUAUGUGUAAAUACCAGCAUGUUAAAUUAGGAUAUUUAUGGAUAAAUUGUAAUAUUUGUACACUGCGAAUGUAAAUUAAAAAAAUAAA
Molecule: long non-coding RNA, 2785 nt
Organism: Photinus pyralis (common eastern firefly)
Lineage: Eukaryota; Metazoa; Arthropoda; Insecta; Coleoptera; Lampyridae
Exons: 3
Source: RefSeq, a predicted model, not a curated record